Non-coding RNA from Macaca mulatta (Rhesus monkey), 1078 nucleotides. NCBI's taxonomy places the organism in Eukaryota, Metazoa, Chordata, Mammalia, Primates, Cercopithecidae. The record is from RefSeq and is a predicted model, not a curated record.
ACAUGUCAAGUACCCUUUUAUUUGGCUACGACACAAUCAAAACACAUUUGCAAAUAUCAAACCUGUAGAAAACAGGUAAAACUUAAUACUAAGCCAAGGGUCUAAUGGACACAAAGUUUAAGUCUUUCGGCAAUGCCAAUCUACCUUGGCUACAAAAUGGCUAUAAUUUACCAAUCAGCCACGUUUGUUACCACAGUGUGUAUAUGUGAAAUGCUGUUGGACUAGCACAAUUAACUAAAGCAUCAACAUCAAACAGCAAAUUCUCUGAGCUUCUUGAUUUUCAGCUAAAGACAGCAUGUAUUAAUAGAUUAAGGCUAUGGGAUUCCUCUGCAAAUUCAUCGCUACAGUGGAGGAGAAGGGGAAAGAAGACUUCUAAUCCCUGGGUGAAAGAGCUGUGAACAACAUCCUCUGCACGUCACCUAAUGAAGCUGUUCCCCUCCCCCUAUACAACAACAAAUUUAACACAAUUGCCCCAGGUGUGAACAAACCAGUUGAGACAGGUAUAGCUGACGUGAAAAUACUUCCAAAAUCCUAACCACUAUCUUUAAAACAAGUAAUACUACCAAUCUUAUUACAGGCUAAGGAAGACACUAUGUUUCUCCUCUAAGGAUUCUAUCUUCUUCCUGAAAGGAAGCAAACUUCUCUUGACUAUAACAUUCAGCUGCACAAGGCAAGAAAACAUUCACAGUUUAGACCACACCUUGCAAGCCCUGCGGGUCUCUCCAACUCCACCCUGCUGGUCUGGCUCACAGAAGACUCUCCUCCCUCCUGUAAGCAGCGCACCUCGGCUGCCCUACAUAUUCUCUGCUACAGCUCUUCUCCUCACCAUGUCAUUAAGUCUCCAUUAAUUCAAACACUCUGUAAGGGUUUGGCAUUCACUUAUUUGUAACUUCACACAGGAUCUAGGUCAUUGCUUCACAGACUACAUCUGUUACCUGAUCGAAAAUCUUAAUAGAAAAGUCAAAAAGUUUAGAGCAGGGUACCGAAAUAAUUGAAAUAACUCCACACUAGGAAAGACUACCAAACACACACAAAAAAGAUGCUCAAUAAAUAACUCUUCAAUCUCUUUAUAAAUAAA